Molecule: non-coding RNA, 23 nt
Filed under: Arabidopsis thaliana (thale cress)
Lineage: Eukaryota; Viridiplantae; Streptophyta; Magnoliopsida; Brassicales; Brassicaceae
Source: RNAcentral
UAGAGUUAGAAGGGUGAAUGGUA